ACGCCAUCUGGUGGAUGGCUAGGCUAGGAGGGCGAUGAAGGGCGUGGCAAGCUGCGAUAAGCGCCGGGUAGGUGCAUGCGACCGUUGAUCCGGCGAUCCCCGAAUGGGAAUCCUACCCGUAAGGGUACUCCCUUGCGUAAGCAGGGGAGGGCGAACCACCCGAAAGGAAGCAUCUGAGUAGGGUGAGGAAGAGAAAUCAACCGAGAUUCCCUGAGUAGCGGAGAGCGAAAGGGGAGGAGCCCAAACCGAAUCUACUGCAGUAAUGCAGUAGAGAUGUGGGGUAUGUUGGUAACUACCUUAAAUGGUAUUAUACCUGAGCAUAUAGCCGAAGUGCCCUGGAAUGGGUCGGCAUAGAGGGUGAUACCCCCGUAGGUUAAAUAUGCUCAGGUAUAAGUUACCAACUAGAGUAGCUGGCCUUGGCAGUGGCUAGCGAAGAUGGGGGAAAUUAGCCUCCAAGGCUAAAUACCUUCCUAGACCGAUAGCGUACUAGUACCGUGAGGGAAAGCUGAAAAGCACCCCGGGAGGGGGGUGAAAAGAGCCUGAAACCAGAUGGUUACAGACGUGCACUGCCCAGAAGUGCCGCAAGGCACAGGGUAGUGCGUUCCGUCUAGAAACACGGGCCAGGGAGUUUAUCCCUAUGGCGAGUCUAAGCCUAAAGGCGUAAGCGAAGGGAAACCGAGUCUCCGCAGCAGCGAUGAGCUGCAAGGGAGAGGGUCUGAAAGGGCCUGAGCCAUAGGGGUAAGGCUAGAAACCGAGCGAUCUAGUCCUGGGCAGGGCGAAGCCGGGCGAAAGCCUGGUGGAGGCCCGCAGGGGUGCUGACGUGCAAAUCGCUCCUCUGACCUGGGACUAGGGGCCAAAAACCAAUCUAGCUCGGUGAUAGCUAGUUCCCACCGAAGCGGAUCGCAGUCCUGCCUGGGUGGAGGUUGCUGAUGCUGUAGAGCACCGAUGGGAUGGCAAGGGCCCGAAAGGGCUCACCGUCCUUUCGAACUCCGAAGGCAUCAGCACCUGAGAAGCCCGGAGGCGGGUUUGUGUGGGGUAAGCCCCACAACCGAGAGGGGAGCAACCCAGACUAGGGUUAAGGUCCCCAAGUUCUGGCUAAGUGUCAAACCAAAGGGUGUCCUCGGGCUAAGACAGCAGGGAGGUAGGCUUAGAAGCAGCCAUCCUUUAAAGAGUGCGUAACAGCUCACCUGCCGAGCCUGAGGGCCCCGAAAAUGGACGGGGCUCAAGCCAGACACCGAUACCCUAGACCUCUUGCUAAAGCAAGAGGUGGUAGGUGGGCGUAGGGCCUGGGCAGAAGGUGGGCCGUGAGGUCCACUGGACCGGGCUCUAGUGCAGAUCCUGGUGGUAGUAACAGCAUAGCCGGGUGAGAAUCCCGGUCGCCGUAAGGGCAAGGGUUUCCCGGCAAUGCGUCGUCAGCCGGGAGUUAGCCGGUCCUAAGGGUAACCCGAAAGGAGUUACUCGAAAGGGAAACUGGUUAAUAUUCCAGUGCCUUGGUAGUAUCGUUACUACCCAUGCAUGUUACCUUAGGAUAGGGCAGGCAGAGCUCUCGCUCUGUUUAACUCUCCAAGCUUAGGGGAGUCUCGUAAUGAGGAGAACCUAGGCGAGGGAGGAAUAGCCCUGCGUUAGCAGGGUCUGCUCGAUUCCUAGGGGCCAUGAAAGCAUGUAUGGGGAGAUGCUACCAAGCCCGUACCGAGAACCGACACAGGUGCCCUGGUUGAGAAGACCAAGGCGUAUCGGGUAUACCGGAGGCGAGGGAACUCGGCAAAUUAGCCCCGUAACUUCGGGAUAAGGGGUGCCUGCGGUCUUUACGAGGAGUAGGGAUCGCAGGUCGCAGUGACAAGGGGGUCCUGACUGUUUAAUAAAAACAUAGGUGGCCGCAAGCCCGAAAGGGUUAGUACGGCCGCUGAAUCCUGGCCAGUGGCGGUACCUAAAACCCCGGUCCAACGGGGCCAAGGGCCGCUAAACGCCGGGAGUAACUCUGACUCUCUUAAGGUAGCCAAAUGCCUUGUCGGGUAAGUUCCGACGUGCAUGAAUGGAUCAACGAGGGCCCCACUGUCCCCGCCUCCAACCCGGUGAACCCACGUAACGUGGACGAACAGUCCACGGACACCCAUCGGGGAGAGAAGACCCUGUGGAGCUUUACUGCAGCCUGUUGCUGCGGUACGGUUGUGGAUGCAGAGAGUAGCUGGGAGCCUUCGAAGGUGCCUCUCCGGGGGCACUGGAGGCGCAAGUGUAACACCAGCCAUCCAUGGCUGUAUCGCUAACCUCGCAAGAGGGACAACGACAGGUGGGCAGUUCGGCUGGGGCGGCACCCCCUUGAAAAGGUAUCGAGGGGGCCCAAAGGUUGGCUCAAGCGGGUCAGAACUCCGCUGGUGAGGGUAAGGCCAAAAGCCAGCCUGACUGGAUCCCUAAACGCAGGGGAUCCAGAGGGGAAACCCGGGCCUAACGAUCCAUUGUGUCCCCACUAGUGGGGGCCAGUGGUGACAGAAAAGUUACCCCAGGGAUAACAGGCUUGUCGCGGGCGAGAGCUCCCAUCGACCCCGCGGUUUGGUACCUCGAUGUCGGCUCUUCCCAUCCUGGCCCUGCAGCAGGGGCCAAGGGUGAGGCUGCUCGCCUAUCAAAGGGGAACGUGAGCUGGGUUUAGACCGUCGUGAGACAGGUCGGUCUCUACCUGAUGGGUGCGCGGUAGCCUGAGGGGAAGUCGCCCUUAGUACGAGAGGAACAGGGCGGCGUGGCCUCUGGUGUACCUGCUGUCCGAGUGGGCAGGCAGGGCAGCUAAGCCAUCGGGGAUAACCCCUGAAAGCAUCUAAGGGGGAAGCCCCUCCCGAGAAGAGGCUACCACCGUUU
This 2847-nucleotide ribosomal RNA is filed under the name hot springs metagenome. RNAcentral's name for it is "bacterial LSU rRNA". It matches the Rfam family "Archaeal large subunit ribosomal RNA". The record is from RNAcentral.